This 426-nucleotide ribosomal RNA is filed under the name Triticum aestivum (bread wheat). Its description in RNAcentral is "partial small subunit ribosomal RNA". The record is from RNAcentral. Lineage: Eukaryota; Viridiplantae; Streptophyta; Magnoliopsida; Poales; Poaceae.
AUGGCCAUCCAGCAUCUCCUCAUCGUCGUCUUCAUGGCUUCCAUCCUCCAAGCGGCCACCUGCGACACAGCGUACAACUUGGUGAAAAACAACUUCCCGCAGGCUCUCCUGGCUCUGGGCGUGAAGUCGUACGUGAACCAUGGGGGCGCCGUUGAGGUGACCCUCCCCGCCUCGUGCGACUUCAACGUGACGGUUGCCGGCGGACAACACACGAUUCGGUUUGACAUCAUAGUCAGUGGGGUUAUCCGGCCCGGAUCCAUAACCCAAUUGGGCGGCGUGAGGAUAUAGGUGAAAUGGGAUUUUCUUGCAUUUCAAAAGGUUCAACGCGUCGGUGACAAGCUCAGGUUUACUGGCAGUGAGCAUGCAGCCACGUUCGACCAGUCCUUUCAGGUUAGCAACUUCGUAUAGAGCCCCAGGUGCAGCUAA